Molecule: long non-coding RNA, 1268 nt
Organism: Mycetomoellerius zeteki
Lineage: Eukaryota; Metazoa; Arthropoda; Insecta; Hymenoptera; Formicidae
Exons: 3
Source: RefSeq, a predicted model, not a curated record
UAUAAUAUUUAUGCAAGCAUGGUACAUUUAUAAUUUUAUGGUGUAUUGUGCACUGAAUUCACAACAGAUCAAAAAAAGAGGUGACGUCGGCCUUUCAGUAAUAUGUUUUUCCAAUUUGGAGAUUUCUUACAGUUAUUCCAAGAAUUCAAGAAUACUGAUCAUGAAGAAUUUUAUCAUUAUACAAGAAUGAUGUCUGAUCAGUUUGAUUGGCUUUUAGAAAAGACAAAACCCUAUCUGUCUAAAACUGCAUAGCAGGAGACAUCCAUUUCCAUCAGAAUUGAGACUGGCUAUCAUUCUGGGAUACCUUGUUCAAGCUGAUAGUAUAUGGUCAAAGAAGUGGUCUUUUUGUAUUGGUCACUCAAUAGUAAUAAGAUUAUCUCUGAGACACGUGAUGCAAUUAUAAAAGCUUUACAGCCAAUAUAUUUACUACCUAUGACAUGGAAAACAUGUAAGAAGGCUCCAAAAAACUCUCAAGCUCAAGCUCUCUGUUCUUCAAUGCAAGAAAUUUUUUUCAAUGUUCUCACGGCAAUCUGUGAUAUAGAUUAUGUUUUCAAAAGGAUGGACAUUGGUGAUUAUGGUACGUAUUAGUUCAGCAUAAAUAGUUAAUAUUUUUAGUAACCGAACUGGUUUUAUAGAUAACUAAUAACUAAUGAAAAACUAUUAACAAAGAAAGGACCAAUGAGAGCAAAGUCGCAGUUAAUAAGUGUAUUCAUAUUUUCUCAAUACAUUCUUAUAUAAAUACAUUAUAUCGAUUAUAUCAAGAUCUUGAUGAGAACACAGGACUAACGAACACGUUUACAAAAUACAAAUAAUUCUUGAGAUUAAUCUAUGUAUAAUAUUACAUUUGUAAAGAAACAUUCCUGGUUGAACUGUCACAAAACUAUCAAGACAGAAAAUUAUCUACCUUAAAAUUUAAAAUCACCAUAUUUGCUAGGAAUGUACUUCUAUCAUCCUUCUUAUCUUUAAUUGUUUAAAAUAGUUGAAAAUGGCUUAAAAUAAGCCAAAACGUUUGUCCGGAGAGUCAAUGUAAUAUGUAUAAGAAUGUAUUGACUUAUUGAGUAAAUAUAAAUGUAUAUGCUUAUCACAACUGAAGUGUUACUCUCAUUAGCCUUUCUUUAUUAAUAGUUUUGUUUUUAUAAAUAUGUUAGGCCUCUCACCUGCAAAUAAUGGCUGUGUUCAGCACAAAACUGUUGCAAAACUCUUUUAACAAUUACGACUAAAAUUUUUGUACAUGUGAUGGCCUUUACUUUGCAAACACAAUAAAGGAU